Molecule: unclassified non-coding RNA, 314 nt
Filed under: Hevea brasiliensis (rubber tree)
Lineage: Eukaryota; Viridiplantae; Streptophyta; Magnoliopsida; Malpighiales; Euphorbiaceae
Source: RNAcentral
AAGAAACACAAAGAAAAACUACAUCAAACACUCUCUUAAAUAAGAAACUCCAUUCAUGUCGUGAGCAAGCCAUUGCAGAAUACCAUCCGGAGGCCGAAGUAGAUCAUGAACACUAACAGCUAGAGUAGACGCAUAUGUAGCCAACCAAUCUGUACUAAAUUUAGCCUGAUGUCGAAAGACCUGCCGAACCUGCGCAUUCCAAUUCCCUCAAAGCAAACACUUGACCCAGGAAACUGAGUAAAGUCUUAAAUUUGAAUUUCAAUAAGAGUCGAUUAUAUUUUUAAAAGAAAAAUCUUGAGCCUUUAUACCGUUGA